Non-coding RNA from Nicotiana tabacum (common tobacco), 371 nucleotides. The record is from RefSeq and is a predicted model, not a curated record. Lineage: Eukaryota; Viridiplantae; Streptophyta; Magnoliopsida; Solanales; Solanaceae.
AGUUUCAGUGCGUUUAGAGGUUUAUUUGAGAGGAAUGGCUAUUUUGGGAGAUUAGAGGCUACCGGGAGGAGAUCCUUCGGUUGGUUCUAACAAAGCUUCCGAAUUGGGCUAGGAGUUAUCGCGGAGACUUGGGGUGAGCUGCUCUAUAUAGAUCUACUUCGCAGUUCCCGAGUCCCUAUUCUUUUAUGCAUCUCUGUCUAUUGUAUUUCAGACAGUUUGACAUGUAUACAUACGUGAUCUCAUGUACGUAGUUUGCUCAUAUACUUGUGCCACCUAGUCUUGGGGCGUAUUGUAUUGGCCGUGUUUAGGCCUUGCUUAUGAUUUUAUCAGAUAUUAUCAUUAUUUGAGACUAUUUCCAUAUUUUAUUGCUA